AGCGAACGCUGGCGGCAGGCCUAACACAUGCAAGUCGAGCGCCCCGCAAGGGGAGCGGCAGACGGGAGAGUAACACGUGGGAACGUACCCUUCAGUUCGGAACAACCCAGGGAAACUUGGGCUAAUACCGAAUACGUCCGUAAGGAGAAAGAUUUAUCGCUGAAGGAUCGGCCCGCGUCUGAUUAGCUUGUUGGUGAGGUAACGGCUCACCAAGGCGACGAUCAGUAGCUGGUCUGAGAGGAUGAUCAGCCUCACUGGGACUGAGACACGGCCCAGACUCCUACGGGAGGCAGCAGUGGGGAAUAUUGGACAAUGGGCGCAAGCCUGAUCCAGCCAUGCCGCGUGGGUGAUGAAGGCCCUAGGGUUGUAAAGCCCUUUCGGCGGGGAAGAUAAUGACGGUACCCGCAGAAGAAGCCCCGGCUAACUUCGUGCCAGCAGCCGCGGUAAUACGAAGGGGGCUAGCGUUGCUCGGAAUCACUGGGCGUAAAGCGCACGUAGGCGGCUUUUUAAGUCGGAGGUGAAAUCCUGGAGCUCAACUCCAGAACUGCCUUCGAUACUGAGA
This 562-nucleotide ribosomal RNA is filed under the name uncultured bacterium. Its description in RNAcentral is "bacterial SSU rRNA". It matches the Rfam family "Bacterial small subunit ribosomal RNA", at positions 28 to 638 of the family's 1533-position model. The record is from RNAcentral.